UGACAACAUUUGAAAAUUCAAAAUAAUAGUUCAAGUGACAUUCGAUCUUAUGUCAAGGAUUCUGAGAUAUUGAUGCAUAUAAAUACGCGUUGUUCUGAUAAAAUAUAUUCAUUACAUUCUACAAAGUAUCGCAAGAUUACAUCUCUGUACAAAUCUGUUUAAUAAGUUUUUCCGAAGAUGUCAAAGCUUAUGAUCUUACUUCUUUUGGUGGCAUUGUUAGCGGCUGUGACAAGCGCCCAGUUGCGUGAUGUGUGCUCCACAAAAGGUGAAUCGUGUUGGUCUGAAGUGUGUUGUGAGGGAACAACUUGUAGCGAAUCUAUGAGAUGUGUAUAAAUCAAAAUUUCCUUUUAAAUUUCACAAUUGUAUAUGGAAUUUUAUUUUUGAGUAAAAAUUUAACACUGAUAUUCUGUAUGAUUUUUUUAAUCAACUAAUAAAUUAAAUUUAUGAUAAAAUAUUUUCAAUGCCUAAAUUUUUGACUUCCCGCUAAGAAAAUUGAAAAUUUUCAAAAAUUCGAGACGUUUUUGUUCUCUUCCUGAUUCUCAAAAAUCAAAUUUUCGUCAGAUGUUGUUCGAAGGUCCUUGGAUGCUAUUUUAACAUUUUCAGAGAGAUGUCUGUAUAUGUGUGAGUGCGUGUGUGUGUUAGUGUAAACGUUCUAUAUUUUUUAAACAACUGGAGAAAUUUAGAUCUUGUUUUUAAAUUUAAAAAGUUGAAAAAUCAAAGAAUGUAAUUUUUAAUAAAACUAAUAAAUAAAUUUCUUAAAGGCCUUCGACAAUAAUUUUUAAUUUAUUAUCCAUUAUUUAUGUUAAUUGCAUUUUCCUUGAAAUGUAGACCUAAUUAAUUUUAUCGAUAAACUCAUAUCGGGAACGCACUGAGUGUUACUAAUCAUAGAAGACAUUCAAAUUAUAUUGUCAGCCACAUAGAAAUUUAUUUGUUUACGUAUUAAUUUGCUAACCUUCUUAAAAAAAAAAAAAAAGAAUAACAAGGUUGGCAAUUCGUUUGUGUCUACUAACACAAUAAUCCAAUGGCCUAUAAAAAGAGCGGAUUCUUCAUUUUUUUACACUAAACUUGCGGCUUCAUUAUACAUCGACAAAGCUCUCCACUAUUUUGUUUUUCCGAAAAUGUCAAAGCUCAUGAUCUUACUUCUUUUGGUGGCAUUGUUAGCGGCUGUGACAAACGCCCAGUUGCGUGAAGUGUGCUCCACAAAAGGUGAAUCGUGUUGGUCUGAAAUAUGUUGUGAGGGAACAACUUGUAGCGAAGGUAUGAGAUGUGUAUAGAUCAAGAUUUCCUUUUAAAACUUCACAAUUGUGUUUCGAAUUUUAUUUUUGAGUAAAAAUUUAACAAUGACAUUCUGUAUGAUUUUUAAAACAAACUAAUAAAUUGAAUUUAUGAUAAAAUAUU
Molecule: long non-coding RNA, 1398 nt
Organism: Microplitis mediator
Lineage: Eukaryota; Metazoa; Arthropoda; Insecta; Hymenoptera; Braconidae
Exons: 5
Source: RefSeq, a predicted model, not a curated record